RNAcentral lists this ribosomal RNA (254 nucleotides) under uncultured bacterium. RNAcentral describes it as "partial 16S ribosomal RNA". It matches the Rfam family "Bacterial small subunit ribosomal RNA", at positions 524 to 776 of the family's 1533-position model. The record is from RNAcentral.
UACGUAGGGCGCAAGCGUUUAUCCGGAAUUAUUGGGCGUAAAGAGCUCGUAGGCGGUUUGUCGCGUCUGCCGUGAAAGUCCGGGGCUCAACUCCGGAUCUGCGGUGGGUACGGGCAGACUAGAGUGAUGUAGGGGGAGACUGGAAUUCCUGGUGUAGCGGUGAAAUGCGCAGAUAUCAGGAGGAACACCGAUGGCGAAGGCAGGUCUCUGGGCCGAUACUGACGUGAGGAGCGAAAGCGUGGGGAGCGAACAGG